CAAUGGAAGAAUAAACAAUUCCCUGAGUAAGUGUGUGCUGCAAGUCCAUUGCUUCACUUAAUUUUCCGGAGAACAGAGGAAAGGGAAGCCUUCUGUGGUACAGCAGAUGAAGUUUGUCUGGAAGUCCCUGUCUUUACAGAGGGGGACUGCAAUUUUUGAGAAGAAAAAAUUAAUUAUCAGGCCAUUAUGUUCAUCCUCCAUCAAGAAGAGAGAAAAUUUUUCUUUGAAACUCAAGGAAAAUUUUCUGCCAGCCUUGACAGCCCUUUCACAUAAGAACAAACUACAGUGCAGCAAUCCAAAGCCAACAAGAUUUAUGGCUGAAACAAUCUCCUGAUUUUAGAUACCAGCUCUGUAAGUCAUCCAACCUUCCUCAGAAGCCACAAAGAAAGGGAAAGGGGGAACUGAGAUUUCAGUUACGCCAGAGGUCCUUGCAAUCUGAAGUGAAAACCACAGCAUUUGACAUAGCAUGGAUCCUGAACUUGAACCACUGAAAGGAAAGCAAAAGCACUCUGACAGGAGAUUUCUUACAUGCAAGCCUCAUGAAAGCAAGUGGGAUCCACAGCUGCUACUGCCAGGUAGUCCCUGGCCACCUAAAUCUGCCUCACUGCCAGUUAGUCAAAUUAAAAGACCACUUUUUGCUUUUCUCUGCAUCAAAAUAUUUUGAAAUAACAAUAACAAAAUAAAAGUUAUAUUAAUUUCAGAAUAUUUUGAAUCACCCAGUCUUUAGAGGAUAUCUGGCAUAUCCUAAGGGAAAUGUCACUGUACUGGAGAUCUAGGGACAUGGCCCAUACAUUUCCUCUAGCUUUUCAAGAGUGUCAUUCUUUCUCUAGCUCUUGUUGAGAGCUUUGAUGGAGUUGGAAAGAUAGUCUGUUGUAGAACAUUUUCUUAUUUCAGCCUUUAGCAGAAAAUUACACAGUACUGCAUGUGGUAAUUAUUUUUUAGGAAUCAAGAUGUCCAUAUUAGACUGUUCAAAGACACUGACUACUUCAGAAUGAGCAGAGGCUGGAUGGAUGGUUUUAUGGUUUAUAUAUACACACCAAACUCUUAAAUGUAGAGAUCUCCAAACCAGAAUACCUUUGCUUAUAAAACAGCUCCAGUUUUGCAUCACUGAAGAUUAACAAAUAGAGCAUUGAGGGGAAAAUAACAUAUAUUUAUAUAACUGUAAAUACCAGCAUGGAGCAGAAACACAUUAAUGCACUUUGUCUGGUAUAUUAGUGAGUGUUUUCCCUUAUGCCCCAGUUUCUGAAAUAGCAUGAAAAUCAAUAUUAUUAUAUCUUUCUACUUAACAAAUUCCCCUCACUAUUGCUAAGAAUUACUUACGAACAGGUACAAAUCACUAAUUCUUUUUAUAAUCAGCCCCUGAAUAUCUGGGGAUAAAAGAAAGGGCACAGCCACCAAGCUCCUGGUAACUACAGAUGCUGAGUGCCAUCAAGAGCUUGCUUUGGAAACUGCCUGUCCUCUGCACCCAGGAGCUGGGGAUCAGCAGGCUGUGCCAAAAUAAACCCUCAUACAUUCCCUGUUCCUUCAAUAGACACAUCUGCUUUUCUCUUGACUCUGAUUACUGGGAAUGGACUGCUGAAAGCCCCACACAAUCAGGUAGUUUCAAUUCCUUUUCUAAGCAGUGUGUGUGGAUGUUGUGUGCAACAGGGGGAAGCACUUUUUAGUCAUAGUCUGCAUUGCUGAGGGCUUUGGAGGUGUAUCCAGAACCAUACUUGGACACAAAUGUCUAGACUUAAACUGUGUGUAAGCUGCAUGGUAAAUGGACCCCAGGAAAUGAUUUAGCACAGAAAAUUGAAUAUUGGAUCAUUUUGCCUUUUCCAAAGACAGUGAGCUAUAUAGCACUGUGGAUAGCUAGGGACACUAGUAAGAAUCCUUUAUGUAAGGAUCUCCUGGCCCUGUGUGCACUGUUGUGGAGGAUGGCAUUUCUCCAAGAUUUCCCAGAUGCAGCACUUGAAAAUAAAAAUUAUGCAUGAUAUUGACAAUAAAAAGUGCAUAUUUUUUGUUCAAGAGAGCUUCCUGUCAAUUGAAAUAAAUCUCCAGACACUGUUUGAAAUUUGCAGUUCCCCAAUUUUUAGUUUGGAAAGGAUAAAGUCCCCAGUCUGCUUGUAAAUGACUCAUUUCCUGAAUGCCACACAAACCCAGCUAGUAAAGGGUGAUUUCUCUGUACAUGGCAAAUGAAAGGCUCUGGACAAAUUAAAGUUCAGAGGUUGUUAGGAUCUGGAGCUCUUGUUAGAGCUAGACCUAAUCAUAAGAUAAUAGUAUUGUAUCUAUACUAAUCAUGGAUUAUGAUAAAGUUUUAGCUGCUCCUAUCUCUUCCCCAUAGUGAUAGGAGUGGCAGUAUAAUCUAAGGACACACAUGGAAGGCCUUCAAAGGAAUGAUAUUGGUCUUUUGACAGAUGGAGAAAAGGAGGCACAGAGCAGGUAAAUUAAUUGCACCAAAAGUCUGAUGGAACAGUCAAUUUCAGACAAACUCCUGCAAGUAAUUUUGAUCUCUUAUAACACAUGUGAAGGCAUUUCUAAUGCUUCUGAGGAAAAGAGGAAUGAACUUGUCUUUAACCUCUGCGCAUGACACCUCAUCUUUAAAAAUGUGGAUAUCUUCAUUAUGACCAACAAGAUGGAGAUAGCCCCUUGUUCUAGUCUGCUCUGGAGAGUGAGACACACGGACAUGUUACAGACACUCAUUUCCUGGCUUAGGCAACUUUACUCUUUCACUUAGAGUCAGGAAAAAAACACAGAGUUGCUGUGCAGUGAGGUGAGUACAAUUGCUGGAGACCCUGGUGUACAAAGGUUACUAAGGAAACAAAGGUGCCUACUGUAAAUCUAUGCAUGGAUAAUCCUCUUUACUCCCAAAUAUACAAUAAGAAAUAUCCUGAGAAUAUAAACUGAGUGUUUUGUAAAUACUGGCUUAUUUUGUUUACCUACUUUGUUUAUGCUAAAUACCUUUGCCAUAUAUAUAAAAGUAAGACAAACCCAACUAUUCCUGUUAAGAGCACUGUGAAGAAGUACAAAGUUUUCUUUUCUUCCAAUAGCACAUUCUCGCAAGAAAGCAUCUUUAAGAGCAUUACUGCUACUGGCAGGACAGAUAUUUUGAUUCCAAAUUCCUGCAGGGGUGUGACACUCAGCUGCAGCUGUUGUGAAAGGCAGCUGCAGUGCUGUUAUCCAGCUGUGCAGACAGAAGCCCCCAUUACCCACCCAGGCUUAGCAAUACAAUGCAGUGGCUGGAUCUGAAAAUGCUGAUGAUGCUGCUUUACAACACGGAGACUGAGAGGCUCUCCAGAGAGCAGUUCUGCUUGCACUGCACUGUUGGCUUGGUGCAUGGCAGCAGCACCCAGCAGAGCCCAGCAGGAGAGCAGUGUCACUGGCAUUCUGCUGUGUCUCUGCAUCAUUGCCCAUUGCACUGUUUCAUAGGUGCAUGUGGAAGAGUGCAGCACCCAAGCAGAGUGCUCUGAGGCUCUUCAUGUUGGCCUCAGAUUAGCAUCAAUUUACACACCCAAUGUUACACACUCAAACUCAGAGUCCAAAGGGGCCGGAGACUGCCCUGCAGAGAUGUUGGAUAUUCAGGCUGAUCUCCAUCUCCUCUGACACACUUUGCAAAGCUCUUAAACUUCAGAGGAAGCAGAAUGUGGUUUUUGUAUCAAGGGCUCGCUAAAGUGAUGUUCUCAUGCCUCAGCAGUUAGAGAUACAGGCAAAAGCUCUUCAUUCUUUUUACUUUUGCAUGCUCAUUGUGGGGGGUGAAAAUGCACUGUAAGUGCUGCUGACAGCUAUGUCAGCCUUUGGGCACACAGUCAACUUCAGUGUGAGCACCUCUUAGCCCAGCAUAUGAGUAAUGCACAGUAGCCAUUACCAAAAAUGUCACUGAUCUAUUUUUCCAUUACCUUCAGUGUACUUUGAAACAGGCUUAAUGGAGGUGAAUUACUUUGUUUUAGGCAGCACUAUGAGAUUGUUCCUUUGGAAACUGCUUUAUGAAAACCACUGCAGCUCAUAUAGAUUGUUCCUUUGGAAACUGCUUUAUGAAAACCACUGCAGCUCAUAUAGAUGCAGAGAGAAUGUGGAUACUUUCUGAAAUUCUGAAAGGAAGAAGCAGGUUUACAGGUUAACUGUAAAUACUGUGAUUUCAUAAAUGACCAGAAGGACCAAAUGUUACGCAAAAGUAUGUUCAGAUCUGUCACCCACACAUACUGACUCUAUAAAGACAAAACAGUUGAUUCUGUAACUUAUUAAUGCUAGUAUUUUGCAUAUGUAUAGAACUUAUCCUAUAUAUCUUUAUCAUAAAACAAACUUUAUAAUAAAAUAAAUUUCAAGGUGUCUGCUCAGGACAUCCUCUGCCAUCCCCCAUAUACUUCAAAUUCAAUGUUAUCUCUAAAACUGUUAUACUUUGGGUUAGAUUUAGCUGUGUCCGCUGUGAUUUCUGGAACUCAUGAAUGAUUACCAUGCAGGUUAAAAUCAGUGUUUGAAUUACACACAGGACUUUAAGAAAAGACUGGAUGUGGCACUUAGGGCCAUGGUCUAGUUUCCAAGGUGGUGUUAGGUCGUAGGUUGGACUUGAUGAUCUCAAAGUUCUUUUCCAGCCUAGUUGAUUCUGUGUUCCUGUGACUCCUAACUCUAAUCUAAGAUCUUUCAAUACUUGUGUAACCUUGAUUACAUUCUUUGCCAUGAAUUUAUGCCCAUAUUCAACUAAAAUACACUUUUCUAUAUUCUUCCUCCAUGUCAAACCCAUGCAUUUGAAAAUGUUAGCACAUACACCCAGAGUAUUCAGGUUGUCAUCAAAUUUUAAGUACUGUUGAAAGUGAUAAUAUCUUUGUCACACUGAGCCUUUGAAAUACCAAAUUUUAUGCCUUUCCUGUGAAACAAAAUCAUAAAAAGACACUAAAUAAUGUACUUAACAAUGUACUAAAAAUCUUAUAUUUAAAGAAUUAUUUAUUAAAAUCUUUCUGAGGCCUGAUUUACAAAAGAUAGUAAAGAUAGCAGGUUGGUUUGAAAUAAAAUAAAUCUUGUAUUGACUGCAAUUAAAAUUAAUAUACUGGAAAAACCUGAAAAAAUAAUUUUCUGCUAGAUACUUUUCUGCUCCAUUGAGUAUUGCUUUGAGCAAUUGUACCUUAUCAUGUUGUGCUGAUAGCAGUGGGGUAAUUUUAUUACCUUAAUAAUACAACUGCAGUUAGCUAACAUUGCACUAUUUAGUUCAUGUAAGGAAGAAAAAUAUUAAUUUGUUUUAAAUAAAGGACUGUCUUUAAUAAGGCACUAACUGCAUCCCAAAAGACACAUAGAGACCUGUGCAAUGCUAAAUAAAGGAGUGAAGCCAAAUGAAAAAUAUCAUGGUAUUCCUCUUUUCACUUAGAAUAGAAUAAUGCCUUCUUUUCCUUUGACACCAACCACUGUAACAGCUCAGGAAGUGCUGGGACUCUUCUGGCUGAAUUUUGUGCACACCAUGGUGAAGGACAACAAGCAGGGGUGAGACUGUGAAAAGAAGAGGGAGCUGUGGAGUCGUUAGGAGAAGGCUUUGGAAGAGGCAAUGGCAUGUGCAUAGCUGGAAAGGCAGCUGUGGCUACAGGCUGCCUGUACAUGGUUCUUUUCAUAAAGAGUUAGUUUAGUUUCAGUACCCCAGGAUUUCCUCAAGUUACAAACCAACAGACAGUGUGUGAAACACAGAAACUCUAUUCUAUAACUGCUUAUAACAUCAAGCUUUAUAACAUUGGAGCGCUACUUUUCCUCCACAGAGGCCUUUUCUUAGCUGGAAAAAGUAAAUCAAGGAAGUGUCUGUCAUGCAGGUUGUACUAAAAUUAUGCUUUGGAAAAUAAACUUAUCUGUAAUAACGUG
This is a long non-coding RNA of Camarhynchus parvulus, 5814 nucleotides long. RefSeq lists it as uncharacterized. NCBI's taxonomy places the organism in Eukaryota, Metazoa, Chordata, Aves, Passeriformes, Thraupidae. The record is from RefSeq and is a predicted model, not a curated record. The transcript has 4 exons.